This is a long non-coding RNA of Triticum dicoccoides, 204 nucleotides long. RefSeq lists it as uncharacterized. NCBI's taxonomy places the organism in Eukaryota, Viridiplantae, Streptophyta, Magnoliopsida, Poales, Poaceae. The transcript has 3 exons. The record is from RefSeq and is a predicted model, not a curated record.
UAUUCUUUUCAAAUAGUAAUUCAGGUUGUUAUACUAAUUUGAUUGAUGUGGGUGGUGUAAUAAUUCAGGUCGUGUAGGAUGGUCUGCUAAUUUCCCUGAUGCUUCAUCAGGUUUUGGAAGAAUCGGGCUAAGGGGUGAUUGUGCUCAGGUUUUGAUGCAGUGAGAUUCAGAUAAUUUUAAGAAACACAUGCAAAGGAGUCCAAA